This 117-nucleotide ribosomal RNA is filed under the name Fonticella tunisiensis. Lineage: Bacteria; Bacillati; Bacillota; Clostridia; Eubacteriales; Clostridiaceae. The record is from RNAcentral.
UCCGGUGGCGAUGGUGCAGGGGAUACACCCGUUCCCAUUCCGAACACGAAGGUUAAGCCCUGUAACGCCGAUGGUACUAUGGCGGAGACGCCAUGGGAGAGUAGGUAGCUGCCGGAU